Molecule: long non-coding RNA, 1217 nt
Filed under: Capsicum annuum
Lineage: Eukaryota; Viridiplantae; Streptophyta; Magnoliopsida; Solanales; Solanaceae
Description: long non-coding RNA (CANN_LNC010885)
Source: RNAcentral
CUUUAGUGACUAGUCUACAAAAAUACUCAAAAAGUGUCAUGAUCAUGAACAUACUUGUAUCAUCCUCUCCAUCUUGAGAGGAAUUUAACCACAAAUUCACGGGCUCACCUUUUCUACAAAGGCACUUCAGAAUUUCCUUCUUGCGGCCACAUAUCUUCUUCGUACUCUUCAUUUUGUACUUCGGCUUCUUCUUGCUCUCUAUCUUAUGGUUUUUCAUUAUUCUUAACCGAUUCAAUGCCCACCACUUCUCCAAGAUAGUACAAUAUACCCUCCUUUAGGAUUAUAUUCCUCCGGUUUGGGCACUCACUAGCCUUGUGCCCCCACCCUUGACACUUGAAGCAUUAAAAUCCCUUGGAAUUGAAAGUAGAAUUCAAUUUACCUUCAUACCUUAGAGGAUGUUUUUGGACAACCUUGGUGGCCUCAGGUUUGGCAUCUAUGAAUGAGUUCUCUUUGAUCUCCCUCUCAAUCUCUAAAGUCGCAUGGAAGAUUCCAUCUAUGGUGUCGAAUUUCUGAAGCAUCAUGCGAGUGGAGAUGUCCUUGUUUAACCUAACCCUGAAGUGCACAAUGUCAUGACUUACUUGCUCUCCUCGGUGGUCAAGUUACAACAUCAAUUGAUGAAAUUCAUCGUAGUAAGCCAUGACACUCUUGCUCCCUUGCAUCAAAUUGUAUAGUUUGCCAAGGUGAUCAUUGUCGCACCCCAUUUCGGACGGGCCGAAACAGUCCGCGACGUAUUGUGGUCGUAGCGACACUUACUGAUUUUUGAAAAAAUUGUUUGUUUUGUUUUUUAGUCGCCACCUAACUUUUGAGAAAAAUCAGGAAAACAAUUUUUUGUAGUAGAAACUCUGUUUUAGUCUACGAAAACCGGUGAGAUUUUAAGUAAGGGUUUGGGUUACUCGAGGGCGAAGGUAUUAUGCACCCCUCAUAGCCUAUCCGAAGAUAGUCCUUCAACUUAGCUUUAGUAAUAUUUAGAGAAUAUUUGGCCUUAGUUAUUUGUUAAAAUUGAUUAGAAAAACGUCAUCAUUUUUAUAUAAAUAAAUAAAAUUUAAAAAAAAAGUAGUCAAGGCACAUAAAGAUGUAACACUAUCACAUACAAGGAAAUAAUAUAGUUAUAAAUAAAUGAAUAUUUUGAAAAAUUAUGAGAGAGUAGUAACUUUUGUUGUUAUAAUAUGUAGAAUAGCGAGUAUAAGAUCUUAUGACUUUGUAAAGUUAAAUAUGAG